UACGUAGGGUCCGAGCGUUGUCCGGAAUUAUUGGGCGUAAAGGGCUCGUAGGCGGUUCGUCACGUCGGGAGUGAAAUCUCUGGGCUCAACCCAGAGUCUGCUUCCGAAACUGCUGUGCUUGAGUGUGGGAGAGGCGCGUGGAAUUGCAGGUGUAGCGGUGAAAUGCGUAGAUAUCUGCAGGAACACCCGUGGCGAAAGCGGCGCGCUGGACCACUACUGACGCUGAGGAACGAAAGCUAGGGGAGCAAACAGG
Molecule: ribosomal RNA, 253 nt
Filed under: uncultured bacterium
Lineage: Bacteria
Description: partial 16S ribosomal RNA
Rfam family: Bacterial small subunit ribosomal RNA
Source: RNAcentral